UAUAGCUCCCCCAUAACUUUAUCCAUCAAUUCAAUUAAACAAUCAUAAUCCAUCUUACGUAUCGAGCUGACUUAUAUCAUUAUAAGUGCAAAAAUGCUAGAAUGAGUAACAAGAAAAUACAAUUUUCUCCUCACAUAGGUGUUAGUCAGAACAGAUUACCUACUGACAAUUACUGAUAAUGAACACAAUGUAUUAACCUGUCAUAAGCAAGAAAACCCUACACUGAUAUAUCAUAAAUUCUACACUGAAGUGUGCUUGGAAAAAUUAAAGGGGGGAGAAGGAAUUCGGCAACUAUGGGCCUCGCCUGUUUACCAAAAACAUCGCCUCCUGCCAAAUAUAGGAGGUACUGCCUGCCCUGUGACUCUGUUUAACGGCCGCGGUAUUUUGACCGUGCGAAGGUAGCGUAAUCACUUGUCUCUUAAUUAGGGACCUGUAUGAAUGGCAACACGAGGGUCCAACUGUCUCCUCCCCCAGAUUAGUGAAAUUGAUCUAUCCGUUCAAAAGCGGAUAUUUUUUCAUAAGACGAGAAGACCCUGUGGAGCUUAAAGUUCUAAUAUUAAACAUGAGCGUAAAUAUAUACUUUAAGUUUUGUAAUAUUAAAUACUUUCGGUUGGGGCGACCACGGAGUAUAAAAAACCCUCCGCAAUACAAUUCUAUUUUAAGAAGGACACUUCUCAAACUAGAAUAUCUAGCACAAUUGACCCAGUCUAACUGAGCAAUGAACCAAGUUACCCCAGGGAUAACAGCGCAAUCCCCUUUAAGAGUCCCCAUCGACGAGGGGGUUUACGACCUCGAUGUUGGAUCAGGGUAUCCUGGUGGUGCAGCCGCUACCAAGGGUUUGUUUGUUCAACAAUUAAUAUCCUACGUGAUCUGAGUUCAUACCGGAGC
Molecule: ribosomal RNA, 888 nt
Filed under: Protopterus annectens (West African lungfish)
Lineage: Eukaryota; Metazoa; Chordata; Ceratodontiformes; Protopteridae
Description: partial 16S ribosomal RNA
Rfam family: Archaeal large subunit ribosomal RNA
Source: RNAcentral